This 829-nucleotide long non-coding RNA is filed under the name Salvia miltiorrhiza (redroot sage). RNAcentral describes it as "long non-coding RNA (SMIL_LNC004127)". The record is from RNAcentral. Lineage: Eukaryota; Viridiplantae; Streptophyta; Magnoliopsida; Lamiales; Lamiaceae.
GAAGCUCGCCUUUCAAAUCAGUAAAACUGUCUUUCAGUACAAAGGUGUUUGUUUUAAGUAAACAUUCUUGCAAAAAUAGCCUACAAGUGUAUUCCAUCCCCCCCAUACACCUGUCCUUUUAACCCUCAGGGGACCCAACAGUAAAAAUAUAUUAUAUAAACAAUUUGAAAAUAAAAAUAGAAUUAAAAUUAACUCACCCCUCCCACUCCACUCCCCUUCUUUUCUUCUCAGCCGUCACUUCCCAUUUUCCAACACGCGGCACAACACCAUCUCAUUUUCCUUUUUCCCCCCAUUUCCCUUUACUUCUCUCACCAAUUACCACCCCCCAGCCUAUCUCCCCCGAUUUUUUGCUUCUCCGCAAUUACCUCCGGCCUGCCGUCGUGUCCUUUUGUUUCUUCGUCUCCGUAUUGGCAACCACACCCCAUUUGAUUCCAUCGUCGUCCCUCUCUGUACUACCUCUUUUUCCUUCUUUUCACAACCCAUUUCGAUUUUUUUCUGUGAUAUUCUUUUAAUUUUUAUAUGAAAAUAGAUAGUAGAAGGUCCGAUAGAUGUCAGCGGUCGGUGAUGUAACUUGUCAGCAACAACAAUGCAAGCCUGGCGGAGUUCUUGAUUGGAAGAUGGAGAUGAUGGGGAAUGGGUUGGGGUUUUAAAUUUUUUUCUUUUCUUUUCAGAUUUUAAGUGUUGUAUUUAAAAUUUAUUAGUAUUUAAAUUUUUGAUAAAUUUUAAAAUAUAAGAAUAUUUUUGAUAAAGUAUUUAUAAUUUAUAUAUUUUUAUUUUUAAAGUUAUUAAUAACCUUUAUUUAGAUAAAAUUGUUAUUUUAAUAUUUACC